This 706-nucleotide ribosomal RNA is filed under the name uncultured Ascomycota. Its description in RNAcentral is "LSU rRNA". It matches the Rfam family "Eukaryotic large subunit ribosomal RNA", at positions 399 to 1126 of the family's 3401-position model. Lineage: Eukaryota; Fungi; Ascomycota. The record is from RNAcentral.
GUGAAAUUGUUGAAAGGGAAGCGCUUGCAACCAGACCUGCCUGCAGUUGCUCAUCCGGGCUUUUGCCCGGUGCACUCUUCUGCUGUCAGGCCAGCAUCGGUUCGGGCGGUCGGAUAAAGGCUUCGGGAAUGUAGCUCCUCUCGAGGAGUGUUAUAGCCCGUUGCGAAAUGCGGCCAGCCUGAACUGAGGUCCGCGCUUCGGCUAGGAUGCUGGCGUAAUGGUUGUAAGCGGCCCGUCUUGAAACACGGACCAAGGAGUCUAACAUCUGUGCGAGUGUUUGGGUGUCAAACCCGUACGCGUAAUGAAAGUGAACGGAGGCGGGAACCCCUCGGGGUGCACCGUCGACCGAUCCUGAUGUCUUCGGAUGGAUUUGAGUAAGAGCAUAGCUGUUGGGACCCGAAAGAUGGUGAACUAUGCCUGAAUAGGGUGAAGCCAGAGGAAACUCUGGUGGAGGCUCGCAGCGGUUCUGACGUGCAAAUCGAUCGUCAAAUUUGGGCAUAGGGGCGAAAGACUAAUCGAACUAUCUAGUAGCUGGUUCCUGCCGAAGUUUCCCUCAGGAUAGCAGUAACGUUUUCAGUUUUAUGAGGUAAAGCGAAUGAUUAGAGGCCUGGGGGUUGAAACAACCUUCACCUAUUCUCAAACUUUAAAUAUGUAAGAAGUCCUUGUUACUUAGUUGAACGUGGACAUUUGAAUGUAUCGUUACUAG